GAGAUUUUUUGAUCCAAGAGAGGGAACGUUGGCCAAGUGUUGACACAGCUUUCCCAACAGACCAGGACUGCAGAGCCAACUGAUAUUUGAACACUGGUGCUCAGAGGACUUCCUGUUAUUCUUCGUGACAACCCCACAGACUUCUACAAACCAGCCUUUGACUCUGAUGAUGAUGACUCGUUCCGCAACAUUGAUAUUGGGAUGCUCCUCGUUGAACCUGAAGGUACUGUGCCCUCAUCCUCCUUGCAUCUCAGUCCAGCCUCUCAGAAAAUCAUCAUGGAGGGAGAAGUGGUGAUGGCCAACAUUCAAGACCUGCCAAAAGCUAUGUGCAUUCUCUUUGGACUUGCAUAUGCUAUGCAUUUCAACUACCCCAGUUCUAUGAAGUCCACAUUCCAGUUCAUCCAACAGAUAUUUUUUGAGCUGGGCCAAAGUGAACUAAAACCAAAGUUACAAACAUUGAAAAACCAGCUUGUGAUGUAAAGAA
Nematolebias whitei (Rio pearlfish) is the source of this 484-nucleotide long non-coding RNA. RefSeq lists it as uncharacterized. The transcript has 3 exons. The record is from RefSeq and is a predicted model, not a curated record. Lineage: Eukaryota; Metazoa; Chordata; Actinopteri; Cyprinodontiformes; Rivulidae.